Molecule: ribosomal RNA, 460 nt
Filed under: uncultured bacterium
Lineage: Bacteria
Description: partial 16S ribosomal RNA
Rfam family: Bacterial small subunit ribosomal RNA
Source: RNAcentral
CCUACGGGGGGCAGCAGUGAGGAAUAUUGGUCAAUGGACGAGAGUCUGAACCAGCCAAGUAGCGUGAAGGAUGACUGCCCUAUGGGUUGUAAACUUCUUUUAUAUGGGAAUAAAACGUUCCACGUGUGGGAUUUUGUAUGUACCAUAUGAAUAAGGAUCGGCUAACUCCGUGCCAGCAGCCGCGGUAAUACGGAGGAUCCGAGCGUUAUCCGGAUUUAUUGGGUUUAAAGGGAGCGUAGGUGGAUUGUUAAGUCAGUUGUGAAAGUUUGCGGCUCAACCGUGAAAUUGCAGUUGAAACUGGCAGUCUUGAGUACAGUAGAGGUGGGCGGAAUUCGUGGUGUAGCGGUGAAAUGCUUAGAUAUCACGAAGAACUCCGAUUGCGAAGGCAGUUCACUGGACUGCAACUGACACUGAGGCUCGAAAGUGUGGGUAUCAAACAGGAUUAGAUACCCCGGUAGUC